GACGAACGCUGGCGGCGUGCUUAACACAUGCAAGUCGAACGGAAAGGCCCUGCUUUUGUGGGGUGCUCGAGUGGCGAACGGGUGAGUAACACGUGAGUAACCUGCCCUUGACUUUGGGAUAACUUCAGAAAACUGGGGCUAAUACCGGAUAGGAGCUCCUGCUGCAUGGUGGGGGUUGGAAAGUUUCGGCGGUUGGGGAUGGACUCGCGGCUUAUCAGCUUGUUGGUGGGGUAGUGGCUUACCAAGGCUUUGACGGGUAGCCGGCCUGAGAGGGUGACCGGCCACAUUGGGACUGAGAGACGGCCCAGACUCCUACGGGAGGCAGCAGUGGGGAAUAUUGCACAAUGGGCGGAAGCCUGAUGCAGCAACGCCGCGUGCGGGAUGACGGCCUUCGGGUUGUAAACCGCUUUCGCCUGUGACGAAGCGUGAGUGACGGUAAUGGGUAAAGAAGCACCGGCUAACUACGU
Molecule: ribosomal RNA, 467 nt
Filed under: uncultured bacterium
Lineage: Bacteria
Description: partial 16S ribosomal RNA
Rfam family: Bacterial small subunit ribosomal RNA
Source: RNAcentral